AUGUUCAUAUUUUGGUGACAAUGUAGACAUCAUUGCAAUUGUCACCUGCCAAAGACUGAAUAUCCAUAUUAAAGUUAUGCAUUUCACUAAUGUACCAAGUUGCAAUGUCAAUUUGCAAGCUGUCUGACUGAUGGUUUAUCUUCUUUGAUGGACCUAAGGUACAUCAAUAUGCAGAAUGAGUCAUCUAAGGAGAGGAAAAAGCAGCCAGAGGACAGAACUGAGCUACUGUCCAGCUCCAAAUACCCUGAACUACCACAAGGUCACGAAAGGCUGCUAGGGAAGAGAAGGCUCCAGAGCAGCUGAACAGCCAGGACAGUUUUCUUCAUUCCAGUACUGAAAAAGGCAGCAUGUGGAUAGAAUACAGCAAGAACUUGUAAAAGCCAGAGAAGAGCCAAGAGAUGUUCAGCUGAGAACACAACUCUGCACAUACUUCCUGUUCACGUGCUCCAACCAGCCAGUGCUCAGCCUGAGACCUAAGUUCAGAGCAUUUCAAGGUGAGUGCACAAAAGCCCAUCACCACCAAAAGCACAUCACAGCAAGGACAGGACGAACAAUGUGGAAGCCCAACACAAAAGCUCUGUCACAGAGUCAUACAACUGCUUUAGUUGGAAGGAACAUUAAAGACCAUACAGUUCAAACUCCCCUGGGCAGGGACACUCAAUGUCAAAGGCAAAAAAGCAAACCCUGCAGUGCUUAGGUCCAGACACCUGAAGUACCAAGUGAUGGGAAAUAAUAUACUUGAAAUUUCACUUUACUGUAUUGUCUAGUUAAUUGCAAAGACAUAAAAUAAUCAGUACUACUCUUACAAAAACAUUUGUAAAACAGAGAA
Cyanistes caeruleus (blue tit) is the source of this 829-nucleotide non-coding RNA. Lineage: Eukaryota; Metazoa; Chordata; Aves; Passeriformes; Paridae. The record is from RefSeq and is a predicted model, not a curated record.